CCUACGGGUGGCAGCAGUGAGGAAUAUUGGUCAAUGGGCGAGAGCCUGAACCAGCCAAGUCGCGUGAAGGAUGACGGCCCUACGGGUUGUAAACUUCUUUUGUCAGGGAGCAAUUGGGUCCACGCGUGGGCUUAGCGAGAGUACCUGAAGAAAAAGCAUCGGCUAACUCCGUGCCAGCAGCCGCGGUAACACGGGGGAUGCGAGCGUUAUUCGGCUUUAUUUGGUUUAAAUGGUGCGUAGGGGGAACAUAAAGUCAGCGGUAAAAAUUCGGGGCUCAACCCCGUCGGGCCGUUGAAACGGAUGUACUAGAGUGGGCGAGAAGUAUGCGGAAUGCGUGGGGUAGCGGUGAAAUGCAUAGAUAUCACGCAGAACUCCGAUUGCGAAGGCAGCAUACCGGCGCCCAACUGACGCUGAAGCACGAAAGCGUGGGUAUCGAACAGGAUUAGAUACCCUAGUAGUC
Molecule: ribosomal RNA, 460 nt
Filed under: uncultured bacterium
Lineage: Bacteria
Description: partial 16S ribosomal RNA
Rfam family: Bacterial small subunit ribosomal RNA
Source: RNAcentral